RNAcentral lists this ribosomal RNA (253 nucleotides) under uncultured bacterium. RNAcentral describes it as "partial 16S ribosomal RNA". It matches the Rfam family "Bacterial small subunit ribosomal RNA", at positions 524 to 776 of the family's 1533-position model. The record is from RNAcentral.
UACGGAGGGGGCUAGCGUUGUUCGGAAUUAUUGGGCGUAAAGCGCGCGCAGGCGGUCCUUUAAGUCUGAUGUGAAAGCCCACGGCUCAACCGUGGAGGGUCAUUGGAAACUGGGGGACUUGAGUGCAGAAGAGGAAAGCGGAAUUCCACGUGUAGCGGUGAAAUGCGUAGAGAUGUGGAGGAACACCAGUGGCGAAGGCGGCUUUCUGGUCUGUAACUGACGCUGAGGCGCGAAAGCGUGGGGAGCAAACAGG